GGUCCUCGUGCGUCCGCCCCGCUGGAGCGGGAGCCUCGGUCUUCCGAGGCCGGCGGGUUGCCCGGUGCCGGAGGCUCCUCCCUGAGUCUACCUUCUCCGUAGGUGACUCUGGGUGAAAUUGGGGCUCGUUUCCGGAGCGCGGGCCUGAGGGGUCUGGAGGAGAGGCCGGGAGGCCAGGUGGAGGCUGUUAGAGAAGCCAAGGCAAGAGAUGAGGGACACUAACCCGGGGCGCAAAUCUCCGGAAAGAUGGGCCCGGGAUAGACUCAGGAUGUGGAAUAGGCAGCGGUGGGGACCGCUGGACGCGGGGCACGAGGGAGGGGGCGACGGACGGGACAGGGAGGAACACGGCGGGGUGGGAGGCCGGGCUGAGUGUUGGCCGCGCCCAGCUGUCUGCAACAGUCAGAUGAAACGCCUGUGAUCGCGUAUCCUCUCUACCCAAACACGAGUCAGUUGUGAAAGCGGUGAGGGCAGAGAUUCAGAUUCUUGAAUUCCAGUGAAGCCAUCCACCAUCUCUUGCCUUUUUGGCAAAAAAAGUUUCUAAGUUUAAUUGAGCCCUGAGAUGUGCCAGGCACCAUUCCAAGCACCUUUCGUGUAUUCACUAGUUUAAUCUUGGUAACACCGUAUCAAGUGGGUACCUUUAGCCCCACUUCAUGCAUUAGGAAAGUAAGGUACAGAGACGGUCAGCAUCUUGCCAAGUUCGCGCCAGGGGUAAUGGGGCCAGAAUUUGAAUUCAGGUAUGCUUUGCCAACAAGCUGAAUUUUAAGUGAGUUUUUGUACUUUCUCAAUUUUAUCGCAUGUUGGUGUCCAGAAGAAAUUGUCUUUCCCAGCUCUGCAAGUUUCUACAUUUCUGGAUUCUUUAAUUCCUUUCAUUCUUGCCUGCAAACCAAGCUCAUUUCUGGCCAAAUGCAGCCAGGAACAAAGGACACCUAAAUUUAAGAAGCAAAUAGAUAUGCAAGAACUCAAGGCCAGUCAAAAGGGGAGGAAAGGAAAGAGACUAACGAAAGAAUGUCAGAGUACAUCGUGCAACUGAGAGGAAAUCUGAAGUGUCUACUGUACACAAGUCAGGAGACACUCAUGAAUUCAGGAGAGAAAUUUCACUAGAGCAUGGGCGAGAGGGAAGGGAGUGCAGAGCUGAGGAAGGAACAGGACAAGGAAUAGUGGGGAAUGUAGUCAACUCUUCAAAAGGCUGAGAAAGGAAGGAGGUCAGAGGGGUACAAGAUGAAGGGGAAAUAUUUUAGUAAGACUGAACAUGUUCACAGGCUGAAGGCAGGCAGCUAACCAGGAAGCUGAAGAUAAGAGAGAAAAAAGUGCUAGUCCUGGAGGCAGUGAGAAGGCCUGAGGUUAAGAGCAAAGGUGGGGACAGUGUGGGGGGGGGUUGAAAAGUAGGGGCGAGUUUCAUUUUCUAAAUCUAUAUGGAAGGCUAUAAGGAUGGGAGCUGAAGGGGCCCAGGGACAACUGACCAGGUGACUCACCUCAAGCACUCCUUGGACCCACAUGUAGCAGUUAGCGGGUUUAUUUCCAGGCAGAUACAGUCAGAGACAAGAUGACGUCCCACACGGCUGGUGGUACCCACAUACAGAGGACCAGUGCUGAGGCAGCAGUUUGGCCUCUCCUCUACUCUUACUAAAAGCAGCGUAUGGUGCGACAUGCAGCAGCAGCCACGGCUACUCCAAGUGGGCUGGGCAGACAGAUGCAACAGACGCCCUAACAGCAUGUCUUAGUCACGAAAGAAGUGCCCAAUAAAGACUAAAUAUUUGAGGAAUGCCAUCUCCAUGAAAGUGAGAUAGUGCCUGCGACAAACAGAACUCGGAACUAAGGGGGGAAAGUGAGAGAGCUAUUGGAGUAAGUUUUCAAUAGAGUGGCUGCUCUGCAUAUCACCACAGACACGAGCUGAUGAAGUCUCCUGACAGCGCCAUCCGCCUCUUCAAGUGAAGCAGGAGGCCUCCCCGCACCGAGUUCCCUUCCCUUCUCCACUCUGAAGUAUCACCGUCUUGAGGGCCAAACGGCAUGGUUUUUUACUUCAGCAUCAAAUAUGACUUACGAAGAUGCUUUUGUAUCUUCUCCUUUCUGCUCCGAGAACCUCUCCUGGCCGGUCUUCAUGGGCAGGAUCAAGAUGAUAUGAAUGCUGGUUAUUCCGUUACUGCCGCCACGCUGACCAGUCUGGCCAGGCAUGCGGCAAGCACACUGGAUGCCACCUGCAUCUGCUUCUCCAUCGAGAGCCUGGUGCUCACCAGGAACACAGGGCUUCUCUUCCCAGACGCUGACUCGAGGCUGAAACCUCUGAGGACGAGGCUCUUUCUCCACAGCGCCGCGCCCAGCUUCUGGCUCCCAGCGUCCUCCUGGUGAGGGGAGGCAGGCAUGCGGGUGAACAGGGCUGCCGAGGUGGGAACGUAUUUUCAAAGAGAGCUGUCUGACAACGAGCGGUUUAAGAGACCAAAUCAUCCUUCCCGCAAGCACCAGGCAGCGCACGGGAAGCAGCAGUUGUGGGGAAGGAGCGGGCUGACACUGAGGUGCCAAAAACCCAACACAGACAAGUGUGUCCUGCCCGGCCAGGGAGACCUGACAGGCCUCACACAGGGGUCUGAGCAGGGAAAGGACAUUCCUGGAUGUGAACUGUGGGGAGAGCAGGUGAGGAGCCAGGCCGCACAGGCUCGCAGUCUCUCCUGCGGCUGCCCUGCCCAGCACCUGUCCCGGCCUGUGGGGCACGGGGCCUGGCCGGGGUCUCUCCCCCAGCACUGGGGACCCUUGGGACAUGGACUGUUUCUUCCAGCCGGCCACAAGAUUUUAAAAAACAAAAAACAAACAAAAAACCACAGUGAAUUUACCGGAAGAAUUCCAGCCCAGUGAAUUUGGCAAUGAAAAUGAAGCCUAAAAUGGAUUCUAAGAGGUUAUGUUAGUUCUCUAUACAGUUUAACAUGAAUAAACAGACAUUCUUAACAAUGCAAGGCCCCCAAAUGCCUCCAUCACUGGAUUUUUAAAAGAACUUCUUUCAAACCACAAUUCUUUAAAUAAAUCAACUUUGGCACCCCAUGGAAACCCAGGGCAUGGGUGGUAACUUCAAUGGGCGAUAAGCACUCCUUUGAGUUGGCCCCUCCAAUCUGUUGGAUUUUAGUUUGUUUGAGGCAAGAUUAUAUGAGGGAGAAAAGGGGUGCGACAGGUUUUCUCAUUUUCCAAGUUCCUCUCUGGCAGAGCAAAAGCAAAACACUAUUUUACUAAGACUAUAUAUUAGGAUUUUACUAGACACACUAUUUUUUGAAGAAUGAUGAACUUGUAGGAGACCUGAUUUUCCAAGAAUAAACACUUUUAAGUGGAUGAAAGCGAAACAAUCCUGGAACAGACAGUCCUAGCCAGGAACAGGCCUUGUUAAAGCUGCAACUGGUGGCUAACAUCUUGUUGGACUUUUUAUAUGAAGAAAGUUCUGUUUGAUUUGAUCAUCAAAUCAGCAACAAGCCGGAUGCAAACAGGAAUUCGGUCUUUUCUCACAGCAGGUCUUUAAAGAAGGAAAGGUGGGGGUAACAGAGCAACCCAGGAACAGGGCUUUGUCCCCUGAAGGCACGCAGUACGUCUUGGUGACCACCACUGCUUCUGGGACUUGCCCCCCGAGGUUUUUGUUGCUAAGGUCCUGGGCCCAGCAGCAGGACUGUUCCAUCUGCGUCUGCUGUCCUGAGAAAAAGACAUGCCAGCCCUGCCACCAGACGUCCUGAGAGUGGGCCUGGGACUCUGCUGAGACCUACCUGGCUGUGGCCAAGUCACAGGGAAGGACACGGCUGCCUUCUGCACCUGUGAAAUCUUUCUAGACAAGCAUUCAAGUCCCCAGGAAUGUACCUACGGGCAGAAGGAAACAGGCAUGGACACUCUGGAACAUUUAAACUGCAAAUACUAAGGUAUGUGCUCCUUUUAAAGACUGUAUAUUCAAAACACUAUAGUACCGCGAACAGUCUGCAUACUAUGCAGUUUUUACAUGAACUUUUUCAUUUCUGUACUGCGGCAUCUUCUCUAGCAGGUGCACACGCUGACCGAAUCUCAGGUUGGUGCAAACCACGCCAGCAGGCCUCUAAGGCUCUCAGGACUUGGAGGUAAGGACAAGCAAGGCAGGGCGUCCUGCGAAGUUAACCAAAACCCAAGAUGCUGCCCCUGGGGACCACGUCCUGCAACAACCCAAAUACAGUGGCUGGAGAGCACACAUGAGGAGUGGGGCCAGGGCUGCAGGGCAAGGAGGCACACAGCUGAGAGAUCAGCAUUCAGCAUCCGAGGAACAUUCACCCUGGCUCCACAGAAAGACUGCAGAGGUAGCUUGCAGGUGUUGUGUUUGAAGGACUAUAAGAGGGGAGACGCGACUUUUCCCUUGAGAGGGCUACCCUUCAGCUGUCCCUUCCAAGUAUGCUUGAAAAACAUGCAGCUGACACGUCAAAUUCGAAGCAGUCGAGUCAUGGGGACCCGAAUGAACGUCAGAGCCAUCACGUCCCCCAGGCCUGCUCCACCCUUCUCUGCUCCAGGGCUGGCCUUGUUGGCUGGGCAUCCCCACCCCCUGGUAGAUCAGAAAUCAUCAACUAUCACUAGGUUGCGGGGCACACAAUCACAGCCAGAAUGUCAGUUUGGCCUAAAAGUGGGAAAGAGACCCCAAGAAACCCAAAGUCCUGGAAGUCAGGGUCCUGCAGCCAAAAGGUGCCAGAGGCCCCCCGGCCAAGCACCCAGCCCAGCACCGGGGGUCACAGAGAUGGGCCGGGCUAGGUGUGCGCCUUAGCAACGUGGGAGGGGCAGGGAGGCAGACACCUGUGAGGGACUGCCAUGGGACGGAAAGGGACGACCCAGCUGUGGGGAAAUGUCUUUUUUUUCCUUUAAUUUAAAUUUUUAAAAAAUUUUAUUUUGGGGGGUGGUAAUAAUUAGGUUUAUUUAUUUAUUUUAAUGGAGGUACCAGGGAAAGGGGAAAUGUCAUUUUUGAAGAAUUACUUGAUCCCUGAGAAGAAAAGUAUCUUUCUAUUGUGUGAGGUCAGUAUUAACAAUGGACAUGAUCCCUUUCAGUCUGGUCUGGGGGAGGCAGUCUUACCUCCAUCACACGCCUCCACUUAACACCGGGCACUGCCUUCCUUCCUCCACCUCCAUUCGCACCUCAGGGUGCAGCCUGGGACUGCUGGGACAGCUGAGAUGGGAGAUGACUUGGCUGGAGUUGGCAGACAGCAGUGUGCCCUGGCUCGCAGGGGCACGAAUCAGGCGUGUGGGUGGCCAGCUGUUGCUCUCCUGACCCCCGAGCAGAGGACGGCCCUAAGGCCAGCUGGCGAGCUCCUGUGACACUGGGCAGCACUCCAACUAAAAGCACGUGAACUGGAGCACUGUUCUCAGGCCUGGAGAGGUGGGUAUUACUGUGCCCAACAGGCCCUGAGACACUGAGAUGCCAGCGAGCCCUGAUCCAGGCCCUGCCUUCCUACUCUGUGCACCAGAGGUGUGGCCCAGCAGCAGGGGUCACCCUCCAGCCGAAAGGGCACAAUCCCUGAUUACCAAUGGGAAGUGGGGCCCCAUAUUCCGCCCCUGCCGAUCUCCAGGACAAACUGAUCUCAUAAUCAGAGAUUGUGUAAUAAAUUAAGAAAAACACACAAGACCAGGGAGAUGGCAGACUGGGGGGAAUUCAGAGGUCUACGGAGGCUGCCAGUUAAACUUGAGCAGGCAGCAGAUGAAGCCAUACAAACAUUUAUUCUGCACUUGAUCUCACUGGUCCAGACGUCUAAGGCUGGAGUAAAUCCACCUGCCUCUCUUCCAUGUCUUUACCCUGAAGUCACGGGCCUGAAUUGAGGCUGGCGGAUGCUGCUGCUGAUUCCUAGCUCUCUGGGACUUACCCUAGACAGGCCUGGGGCCAGAGCAAGCUCAGAAGGCCACAGGUACAGUCUCUGGCAUCAGACAUGUUUGGGCUGAUUCCUGAGGUCUCGCUCCCAUGCCCCAAAACAUGAGGAUCUGGCUUAUGAGCCCCUGACCCCUGCAGAAACACCAGGCCCCUGGCUGGAGUGGCCUCCAACCUAUUUCCUCUGGGCAGCAUGUGAGGAAGGGCUCCCUGCACCCUUUUUUUUUUUUUUUAAAUCAUCCAGAUCUAGGUUCAAAGGAUCCUGAAACUUCUUUGCCCCAUCUGGACCUGAAAACAAGAGCUGAUUUUUAAAAGCCAAAUUUUCAUUGCAUUUGGACAGAAUGAAUAAUGUGUUUUUCAUAUUUUCUUUGUAUUUCUCUUCAAUAGUUGCAUGACCCAACAUCUUUCUGUCUGCUCUAUACAAUGAAAAUACAAACUAAAUGAGGAUAGAAAAAAUAAUUAAAGCAUUAAGUCGUACAAAUUACAAAUCUGUUCCAAAAUAUACUUACAUUAAAUAAAAUACGCAUUUCAGUAAGA
Non-coding RNA from Vicugna pacos (alpaca), 6370 nucleotides. NCBI's taxonomy places the organism in Eukaryota, Metazoa, Chordata, Mammalia, Artiodactyla, Camelidae. The record is from RefSeq and is a predicted model, not a curated record.